AUGGUCGACUCUGGGCUGGACCAAUUACAGUCGAGGAGGUCGGAUGCACCCUCCCCCUUGCCCAGCUCGGAAAGCAAUUUUCCUGAAACAGAAGAAAAUGGUAUUGAGGUGAAAAGGAACGCGACUCCUGCUGUAUCAGCAAGCUCACCUCAGCCCACUUCAGCUAGAAUGAAAAAAAGACACAAGCUGGAGUUAUUCUGUAUAUAUAUAUAUGCCUGCCUUGAUACUGACAGGGUACAACUGGAGAACUCGGGUGUGUCCGGUGGAUCUAAGGGCCUGAACAGCAGGCCUGAGCCUCCUGAGUCUCUGUGAGAAAAUGCAGUGAUGUAUGAAGUGUUCCUGUGUGCUGGGCUCAGAGCAGCUGCUCUCAGCAUCAGCUGCAUUCACUGUCAUGCACAAAGUUCAGCAGCUCAAAAAAGCUCAUAGAUUUUGAUGGUAAGUCAGGCAAAUUCUUAAUCCCCUUUGCAAACUCUCUGGCAUCCAAGUCUGAUUGGUCCUGAAAAAGCAAAGUAGUGCUGAGGGCCUUACACUGUUCAGUGAGUUGACUAAGGAGCUUGGAAAGAAAAAGUUCAGUGAGUUCAUCAUUUGAGAGAUUUGGAAAAUUUUUCAACAGAUUUCUCUCCCACAUUUUCCAAAGUGGUGAAUCUCUCUUGGAUGGAAUAGACCACCAACAACAACAUUAAAAAGGUCACCUCCAGCUUCUUUAGGGCAUCACUCAAUGGCUCAUCAAUUGAUUCGUAAGAGAAGUGCUGUGUCGUAGAUCUCAGUCUUUUCUGUUGCAGAACAGCCUCUACGUUCAUGUCCUCACACAUAUCCUUGGCAAACAUUUGUGCAGAUGCAAAGCCUGUUCCCCUGUAGUUGGAGACUGACCGCUACAUCUACAUGCAUGCUGGGAGACUGCAUGAGCGUGCCCACAUGGUGAGUUUGGUUCAGAAUGUCAUACGACACCACUGUACAAAUCCUGAAUCUGUAUGAUCCCACCUCCUCAGACAAAGACUGGGCUUCAGUCUUUAUGACUGAGUCUUUGGUGUGGUCACUCCCUGCAGAUGCUCGGUACCUCAGGGGCUCAACACUGUUGAUCUUACUUUCCCACCUUGUUUCAGACCAUGUCUUCAGUUUAACAUUAGCAUGUUUUUAUAGGACGGUCCAUCUCUGAGUGGAGGCUGAAAACAAAUGGUUAAGUUUCUGCAAAAUCCCAAAGUAACUAUCUUCAGAAUUAAACUGGACCAAAUUAUUGUUUUAUCAAAUAUUCAGAAUUAUGUGUAACAAGCAUUUUAUUGAAUAGGAUACCACACCAUCAGUGUUUGGAAGUCAUGCAUUACUCUGUAAUUACAGUAAGAUAAUGUUCCUAAAUAAUGCAGCCUAAUGGUGUAAGAGAUUUGUUUUUGCUAAGUCAGACUACAACAGAAAACUAUUGUCCGGUUUGAGUGUAGCAUAGCAUACAAAUGGCUAACAAACAGCCUUAAUAAUUCAUCAUACACUGAGAAUAGGAGAAAAAUCAACAAUACACCUUUUCCAGUUAUUGACUAAUAAAUAUUUUAAUUAUAUAAUAUUACUGCCUGUCUACUGUUUACUAUCAUAGCCAAGUAGCUAACAAGUUUUCACUAUUCCUGCUAAUGAACGUGAUUCCCCCCCCCCACACACACACACACCCGAGAAUCCCCACCAACUAACAGAUCUCCACCUUAGUGCGCAGACUCGGUUUGUAUGAGGUUUUUCUGUGGUUUUGCACAACCCAGGAAAAAUUGACUGUGACAUAAUGAGCUUGGAUUGACGAUAUUAUGAAUGAAAUGUGCUUUACUUGGAAGCAGCCCGCCCCCCUCCCCUUUCGACAGGGUGUAUGUGACACUUCAGCACAGCAGCAGCAGCAGCACGCAGUCGCACUGAGGGCCCUGGGUGUGACAGAAUUUAAAAACACAUCAGUGCAAAUUAUGUCUGUAUCAUGAUGUUUGGUGUUUCUGUGUUUGUUUGUUCAUUCGGUUUUAUUUGGUUUUAUUGUGCGAGCUGGUUAUUUUGCCGCUCCGCCAGCCAGAGAUCUCACACUGUGAG
Long non-coding RNA from Oreochromis niloticus (Nile tilapia), 2049 nucleotides. The record is from Ensembl. Lineage: Eukaryota; Metazoa; Chordata; Actinopteri; Cichliformes; Cichlidae.